This 465-nucleotide ribosomal RNA is filed under the name Vreelandella stevensii. RNAcentral's name for it is "partial 16S ribosomal RNA". It matches the Rfam family "Bacterial small subunit ribosomal RNA", at positions 338 to 795 of the family's 1533-position model. The record is from RNAcentral. Lineage: Bacteria; Pseudomonadati; Pseudomonadota; Gammaproteobacteria; Oceanospirillales; Halomonadaceae.
CCUACGGGUGGCAGCAGUGGGGAAUAUUGGUCAAUGGGCGAAAGCCUGAUCCAGCCAUGCCGCGUGUGUGAAGAAGGCCUUCGGGUUGUAAAGCACUUUCAGUGGGGAAGAAAGCCUUGGGGCUAAUACCCUCGAGGAAGGACAUCACCCACAGAAGAAGCACCGGCUAACUCCGUGCCAGCAGCCGCGGUAAUACGGAGGGUGCGAGCGUUAAUCGGAAUUACUGGGCGUAAAGCGCGCGUAGGCGGUCUGAUAAGCCGGUUGUGAAAGCCCCGGGCUCAACCUGGGAACGGCAUCCGGAACUGUCAGGCUAGAGUGCAGGAGAGGAAGGUAGAAUUCCCGGUGUAGCGGUGAAAUGCGUAGAGAUCGGGAGGAAUACCAGUGGCGAAGGCGGCCUUCUGGACUGACACUGACGCUGAGGUGCGAAAGCGUGGGUAGCAAACAGGAUUAGAUACCCGAGUAGUC